AUUGAACGCUGGCGGCAUGCUUUACACAUGCAAGUCGAACGGCAACGAGGAGAAGCUUGCUUCUCUGUCGGCGAGUGGCGCACGGGUGAGUAUAGCAUCGGAACGUGCCAAGUAGUGGGGGAUAACCAAACGAAAGUUUGGCUAAUACCGCGUAAGCUCCAAGGAGGAAAGUAGGGGACCUAAAUAAGGCCUUACGCUAUUUGAUCGGCCGAUGUCGGAUUAGCUAGUUGGUGGGGUAAUGGCUCACCAAGGCAAUGAUCCGUAGCGGGUCUGAGAGGACGAUCCGCCACACUGGGACUGAGACACGGCCCAGACUCCUACGGGAGGCAGCAGUGGGGAAUUUUGGACAAUGGGGGAAACCCUGAUCCAGCCAUGCCGCGUGUAUGAAGAAGGCCUUAGGGUUGUAAAGUACUUUUGUUAGGGAAGAAAAGCUAGUUUUUAAUAAAAAUUAGUGAUGACGGUACCUAAAGAAUAAGCACCGGCUAACUACGUG
RNAcentral lists this ribosomal RNA (493 nucleotides) under uncultured bacterium. Its description in RNAcentral is "partial 16S ribosomal RNA". It matches the Rfam family "Bacterial small subunit ribosomal RNA", at positions 30 to 507 of the family's 1533-position model. The record is from RNAcentral.